AGGGCUUGACAUGCUUGAAGUAGGAACCUGAAAGGGGGACGACCGGUAUCCAGUCCGGAGCUUGCACAGGUGUUGCAUGGCUGUCGUCAGCUCGUGCUGUGAAGUGUUGGGUUAAGUCCCGCAACGAGCGCAACCAUCGCCCUUAGUUGCCAGCACGUAAGGUGGGCACUCUAAGGGGACUGCCAGCGACAAGCUGGAGGAAGGUGGAGAUGAUGUCAAGUCAGUACGGCCCUUACGCCCUGGGCGACACACAUGCUACAAUGGCCAGUACAAAGGGUAGCAAGACCGAAAGGUGGAGCCAAUCUCAAAAAGCUGGUCUCAGUUCGGAUUGAAGGCUGCAAUUCGCCUUCAUGAAGUCGGAAUCGCUAGUAAUGGCAGAUCAGCCAUGCUGCCGUGAAUACGUUCCCGGGUCU
Molecule: ribosomal RNA, 413 nt
Filed under: uncultured bacterium
Lineage: Bacteria
Description: bacterial SSU rRNA
Rfam family: Bacterial small subunit ribosomal RNA
Source: RNAcentral